RNAcentral lists this ribosomal RNA (459 nucleotides) under uncultured bacterium. RNAcentral's name for it is "partial 16S ribosomal RNA". It matches the Rfam family "Bacterial small subunit ribosomal RNA", at positions 338 to 795 of the family's 1533-position model. The record is from RNAcentral.
CCUACGGGAGGCAGCAGUGAGGAAUAUUGGUCAAUGGCCGCAGGGCUGAACCAGCCAAGUCGCGUGAGGGAUGACGGUCCUAUGGAUUGUAAACCUCUUUUGUCAGGGAGCAAAGGGCGCCACGUGUGGCGCUUUGCGAGUACCUGACGAAAAAGCAUCGGCUAACUCCGUGCCAGCAGCCGCGGUAAUACGGAGGAUGCGAGCGUUAUCCGGAUUUAUUGGGUUUAAAGGGUGCGCAGGCGGAAUGUCAAGUCAGCGGUAAAAUUUCGGGGCUCAACCCCGUCGUGCCGUUGAAACUGGCGUUCUUGAGUGAGCGAGAAGUAUGCGGAAUGCGUGGUGUAGCGGUGAAAUGCAUAGAUAUCACGCAGAACUCCGAUUGCGAAGGCAGCAUACCGGCGCUCAACUGACGCUCAUGCACGAAAGCGUGGGUAUCGAACAGGAUUAGAUACCCCGGUAGUC